Oncorhynchus tshawytscha (Chinook salmon) is the source of this 6209-nucleotide long non-coding RNA. The record is from Ensembl. NCBI's taxonomy places the organism in Eukaryota, Metazoa, Chordata, Actinopteri, Salmoniformes, Salmonidae.
AAAGGCUUGUUUAUUCUACAUGGAGCUGUUACUACAAUUGAAAGUUAUCAAAACACUUAGUUUAGAAUAUCUACAUAAAUUCAACAAUUGCAUUCUUCUCAUAUUACUCUGUAGACUACUGACCUAGUCAAAGCUUCCUCUGGCAUCUCACCAUACAUCUGCCUGUAGUUAUUGAACUGAAUCUACAGGAGGUUUGUUUGUUGUGAAUGAGUGGGGAGGAAACAGCUGCAGGCAAGGUUCUGACAGAUGGGUGUGUCUUGGUGGUGGCAAGGACGUCAAACCACACCCCCAAGCCAACUCACGUUUGGCUUCUGUCAUAGCCACCAGUAUUUCUUCCAGCUGCUUCGUUAGUUUAUUAUCUAGCUGCAUUGUAUCCAGAUCUCCAGGGCCGGCAGUAGCCUUUUGGGGGCCCCACUACCUCACUGCAAAAUAUUUUAGUGCCCCCCCCUCCUGACGUUGGAGAGAAAAAAACAUCUGUUUUAAAGUUUAUUUCCUGCAAUUCUGUGAACUGUCUUGUGCAAGUUUGAAAUUUCCAUAAUACCUGUUAUGUACCUGGUGUCAGCUAGAGAUGACGUGCAGGAACAUGUAUUUGUAGUUUUUCACGAUCUCUACUUUGAUGCUAAUUAGUGUUUUCAAAUCUGAGAGUAAAUAGAGCCAAAUAUAUUGAUAAAAGUAAUCUUGUCCAAGAGAGAUUUACAGGUUAAUAAAAUGUCACGCCAGGGUAAGCCUACAUGAAACACAGACCUUAUUUUAAGUGUUUCUAACUAUCCCCAAUGGGAAGAAUGAAUGGUGGAAAAUAGACUGGAACCAUUUCUCUGUUUCACCGCUAGGUUGUAUGGGUAUUAUCACACCUCCAAUGUGGGGCUCUAUACACAGCAUAUACAGUUGAAGUCAUAAGUUUACAUACACUCAGGUUGGAGUCAAUAAAAAUUAUUUUUCAACCACUCCACAAAUUUCUUCUUAACAAACUAUAGUUUUGGUAAGUCGGUUAGGACAUCUACUUUGUGCAUGACAAGUAAUUUGUCCUAUUGUUUCCAAACAGAUUAUUUCACUUAUAAUUCACUGUAUCACAAUUCCAGUGGAUCAGAAGUUUACAUACACUAAGUUGACUGUGCCUUUAAACAGCUUGGAAAAUUCCAGAAAAUGAUGUCAUGGCUUUAAAAGCUUCUGAUAGGCAUCAGAGUGUGGAGUGUCCACCACAAAGCCCUGAUCUGGAGUGGAGUGCCAAUCACAAAGCCCUGACCUGGAGUGUCCAUCACAAAGCCCUGACCUGGAGUGGAGUGUCCAUCACAAAGCCCUGACCUGGAGUGGAGUGUCCAUCACAAAGCCUUGACCUGGAGUGGAGUGUCCAUCACAAAGCCCUGAUCUGGAGUGGAGUGUCCAUCACAAAGCCUUGACCUGGAGUGGAGUGUCCAUCACAAAGCCUUGACCUGGAGUGUCCAUCACAAAGCCCUGACCUGGAGUCGAGUGUCCAUCACAAAGCCCUGACCUGGAGUGGAGUGUCCAUCACAAAGCCCUGACCUGGAGUGGAGUGUCCAUCACAAAGCCCUGACCUCAAUCCUAUAGAACAUUUGUGGGCAGAGCUGAAAGUGUACAAGCAAGGAGGCCUUGCAAACUUGACUCGGUUACACCAGCUCUGUCAGGAGGAAUGGGCCAAAAUUCACCCAAUUUAUUGUGGGAAGCUUGUGGAAGGCUAACCAAAAUGUUUGACCCAAGUUAAACAAUUUAAAGGCAAUGCUACCAAAUACUAAUUGAGUGUAUGUAAACUUCUGACCCACAUUCUCUCUACUAUUAUUCUGACAUUUCAUGUUCUUAAAAUAAAGUGAUUUUUACUAGGAUUAAAUGUCAGGAAUUGUGAAAAACUAAGUUUAGAUGUAUUUGGCUAAGGUGUAUGUAAACUUAGUUUUAGUAACGUACUGAGCUGAUGGAGGAAUUUAGUAACGUACUGGAGGAUGAAAGACGACACCUGGGCUGUUUUAUGCGACAUAUUUAAAUGAUUGACAUGAAAGAGGAGAGGGACACAAAUCAGAUGAAGGCUGCUGGGAAAAACUUCAAAGCGAAAGCCAAAAAUAAUGCAGCAGAUGAGAGGCGGAAGAUAUUUCAGACCACAGUCUCUCUCUCAGGACAUAUGUGAUGAUACCCGAACAGUUAACCCUAUGAUGACAACGGACAACUAGUCCCACCAAUAUUUAGUAAGCAUAAAUAACUGGUUAACAUCAAUGACUACAAUGCAUGUCAAAACUACCCAGUGGUGUAAAGUACUUAAGUUAAAAUAUAUUAAAGUACUACUUAAGUCAGUUUUUUGGGUAUCUGUACUUUACUAUUUAUAUAUUGGACAACUUUUAUUUUUACUUCACUACAUUCCUAAAGAAAAGACUUAAACAACAUUUUACUCCAUACAUUUUCUUGAAUACUUAGCAGGACAGGAACCUGGUCCAAUUCGGGCACUUAUCGAGAGAACAUCCCCUGGUCAUCCCCACUGCAUCUGAUCUGGCAGACUCACUAAACACAAAUGUUUCAUUUGUAAAUGAUGUCUGAGUGUUGGAGUGUGACACUGGCAAACUGUCAAUGUAUGUAUGUAAUAAAACCGUGCCAUCUGGAUUUCUUAAUGUAAGGAACAUUAAAUAAUUCAUACUUUUACUUUUGAUACUUAAGAACAUUUAAAACCAAAUACUUUUGACUUUUUACUCAAGUAGUAUUUUACUGGCUGACUUUUACUGGAGUUAUUUUCUAUUAAGAUAUCAUUACUUUUACAACAGUGUGAAAUGACUUUUUCCACCACUGAAACUAACGCUAAUAGUAUUUCACUAGAAUGUUACUGUUCUCAGUCCCGUUACAGCAUGUUGCAUAACGUCAUCAUUCUACCAAGGUGUAUCACAAGCUCUAAUUCAAUUACAAAAUGGGAAGGUAAGUUCUAAUAAGGAGUUGAUUCUCUUCAGUUGAGCCGACACCCUGUUGUCGUAGAGAAACAGCAAUGCCUGGAUCUUGAACUAGCCGGGCCAAUCGAACGCCCCCAGAACCCAAGACUAAAACAGCUCAUAUUGAUGUUUUGGCGCAGGAGGGAGAGAAAAAUAUUCCGCAGACUGAGAUUCUGAGUUUACAAAAAAGAGCUACUGCGAAUUCAGAAACAGAAACGCCUUCAGGGGAACAAAUGUGGAAAGAAUGCUAAUCUUGUUAUUUAUUAAAACAAUGCUUUCCCUAGCAAUGUGGUGCCCCCACUCAUGUUCUGGUGCUUCCAGUUCCCCCCUUUAUGAUCGAGAAUAACAAAUGACUUAAUAAUGCAUUUUAAUACAGAUAGUCUUAUUAAGAAUUGCACGUCAGUCAAAAUAUAAUAUUGCUUUUUACAUGUUACACUAUACACACACAUGUUAGGCUGCAAAAAUGGUUCUCAAUCAAAGUUCUCCUCAUCGCAUUCACAUCAACAGCAUGUUGCACCUGGCCAUCUUCUCCAUUCUCCUCAUCCUCCUCAGGUAGGUCCUCCUCAGCCUCCUCAGGUAGCUUGUCUCCUUGUCUCUUGCUAAAGUUAUACAGAACUUCCACUGCAAUAGUGAUUGUCAGUGUAGUGUCCAUCUUCAUGCAGAGCACCACCUGUAGGGGAGGGAAUCUUUUCUUCCAUACUACAAAAACUCUAUGAGAUCUCUUGUCAGGAUAUGAGAGGUGGUGUGUUCUCUCUCUAUGAGAUCUCUUGUCAGGAUAUGAGAGGUGGUGCAUUCUCUCUCUAUGAGAUCUCUUGUCAGGAUAUGAGGUGGUGGAUUGUCUCUCUUCAGGUGUCUGGGGGUUUAAAAGGGGAGUCAUAAGGUUCCCAUGACAAGAAUAUCCAUUGUUACGUAGUAGGGGGCCUUCAUAUGCUCCCCGUUCCAGCAUUGCACACAGACGACUAUUGUCAAAGUAUCUGCUGUCAUGGGUGGAUCCUGGCCGUCUUGCUAGGAUGUUGGUGAGCUGACCUUUGACAUCACAGACAGCCUGCAUGUUGACGGAGCAGUAACCUUUCUGAUUACAGAAUAGUUCUCCAUUCCCACCACCAGGGUUCGGAAUAGGAAUGUGUGUCCAGUCUAUUGCCCAUAGUACACACGGGAAUCUAGCUUUCAUCUCAAAAUCCAGCUGCUGUUUCCUCUGUAGGACUGAACCUGAUGUACUCGUUCUUCAGGCCGGCAAAAGCACUGGACACUACAAUCCUGUAGACGGUUGACUUGUGGAGUCCAGAAAGGUCCACAUCCAUCCACCAUCUGGAAACAUCCAGUUACAUAGAACCGUAGAGUCAUCAGGAGCUGAAGUAGUAGGGGUACAUCCUCGUUACCGUCGUUCCCACGCUUGGUCCAACCUUUCUUUCCAGUUGCAUUACAGAUUCCUUGGAGAAGCGGCAUCUCCUUGAAAACUCAUCAUUAUAAAAAAAACUCAACAGGAUACAACCUGUCUCGUAAUGUUCUCUGAGGAACUCUGUCGUUCUGGUCUCUCCACAGUCGAUAUCCUGUCAUUUUAUCAGUUCAACCACAUCAAAUGGCAGUUCAGAAUCUCCAAUCUAAGUUUAUAUUCAAGCUUAAAAUGACUCUAGGUUUAAAGUGAAAACUAAAACUUAUGAUUAGAAGAAGGAUUCAUUUUAACUAGGAUUCAUUUAAAAAUAGAUUUAAAGUUUGGUGCAACAAGAUGAAGAUGAAACUGGGUUAAAUGAAGGCUUAAGAGUUCCUCCAUGUUGGUGCAACCCACCCUGUAUAUUGGGUUUUCCUAGAUUUAGGCAGAUCCCUGUAUUUGGCAUGACAAUGAGAGGUAGUUGCAUGACGGCACCAACAAACUGGCCCUCAGGUCAGCUGUAUUAGAGGUGAUAUCACUCAGGUCAGCUGUAUUAGAGGUGAUAUCACUCAGGUUAGCUGUAUUAGAGGUGAUAUCACUCAGGUCAGCUGUAUUAGAGGUGAUAUCACUCAGGUCAGCUGUAUUAGAGGUGAUAUCACUCAGGUCAGCUGUAUUAGAGUUGCCCAUCAAUUGCAUUAAUGCCAUCAAUACACCUCCUGUAAGCAAUUCAGGCCAUCUAUAGACCAUAACUGUAGAUUGACCAUAGGCAAGGGAGUGUCUCUCGAUCUUUGUCCAGGACAGAGUGUGUUAACCUGAAUGUCUGACAUUAAAACAUCUGGAAUGUACACACUUUAUGAUCAGUCGUGUUUGACAACGACAGACUUUGGGGUGGAAUCUGGCCAAAGCGAGAGUUUGGUAAAACAGGUCACCAAGCUUUCAGUUAAUGGAUCAACAUACUUGGCAACAGAAAGUUAAAAUUAUGAACAGGUCUAUGUCCCCAAUGGAACCCUAUUCCCUUUGUAGUGCACUACUUUAGACCAGGACCCAAUGGAAGCCUAUUCCCUUUGUAGUGCACUACUUUAGACCAGGACCAAUUUGGGACACAGGCCAGGUCUUGGCAGACUAACGACUUGGUUGGCCCCCUUUGGUCUGGCUCAACAACAGAAUACAGACAGUAACAAAUAUCUAAGUCGUGUGGUCACAAUGAAGGCCCAAAAGACCUGGGUAAAAGCUGUUCAGCCGUUUAGUCAAACCCUUCUUCCUAUUGUGAUGGUAAUGUGUUUAUAAUGAUAGUUAAGAAGUUUAGUCAGAGAGAGGGGGGAUACAGAGAGCUUCUGCAGGUAAGUCCUUCACAUCAUCAUACAUUAAAGUCUUUAAAUAGUUCAUGUGGUGUCAACACUUAACAGAAUAGAAAACAAAUAACUAACAACCAAUAAGAGUCUUGCAAUGAAUCUGCCCUCUGUUCCGACCUGUCUCCAUGGCAACACCCUGGUCAGUUAUAGUAGGUCCAAUUGUCCAUCUCCUGGCCACCCCUGGGCUGGGCUCCACACUGCAGCCCCCUCUCCUCUGGUCUCUAGCCCCAGUCCUCUCCUCCUGUCUCCAGCUCCUCUUCUGCUAGCUCCGGCCCUUCUCCUCUCCUCCUGUCUCCAGCCCCUCUCCUCUCCUCCUGUCUCCAGCCACUCUCCUCUCCUCCUGUCUCCAGCCCCUCUCCUCUCCUCCUGUCUCCAGCCCUCUCCUCUCCUCCUGUCUCCAGCCACUCUCCUCUCCUCCUGUCUCCAGCCACUCUCCUCUCCUCCUGUCUCCAGCCACUCUCCUCUCCUCCUGUCUCCAGCCCCUCUCCUCUCCUCCUGUCUCCAGCCCCUCUCCUCUCCUCCUGUCUCCAGCCCCUCUCCUCUCCUCCUGUCUCCAGCCCCUCUCCUCUC